Molecule: long non-coding RNA, 937 nt
Organism: Centropristis striata (black sea bass)
Lineage: Eukaryota; Metazoa; Chordata; Actinopteri; Perciformes; Serranidae
Exons: 5
Source: RefSeq, a predicted model, not a curated record
UGACAAAAAACUACAUGCUAGUGUUAAAACGUUACGGCUAACGUGUUAGCAAACCUUCCUUUUGACACGGAGCUGUUUGCGUUAGCACUCAUAUGGCGUCGUUUCCCUGUCUUCCGGUCAAAUGAAACUCGGCACCAAAGGUUUAUCUUGACAAAUGCCAGCUGCAGAGGGUCACUUUAAAGAAGUGGCCUUCAGGGGCUUUCCUGCUUUUAGGAGUCAAUGUAAUGCAGCAGCUCUGACAGAGCGAAGCAACACCCCACUGGCCUUGAAGAAAGCAACCAGGAAAGGCUGUUUGGACUGGGGCCCGUUCCUCCCAAUGAUUCCAGCAGAUUUUAUGUUGAUACUUCGGCCUGAAGAUUCCAAGAGUCUGUUACAAGUAAAAGGAACAAAUUCAUAGAAAGAAAAGCUGAACUCCACUUGCCAUCUACAGUCUCCACACAGAGCUGCAAACCCAAGUUCUGCUGUGGGUUCAUCACCCAGUGGUUACUGGUGGCUGUGAUGUCAAACACUAGCCAGCCUCCAUCGGAUGCCUGGACCUUUUUGGAGUCGAGCAAGAACGUCUCGGCGUCUCUGGAGACUUUCUGCCAUUAAAUCAACCUCUCAUCAUCUGAAGGGACGUGGUUGCACAUCUGCAUUUAUUGAACAGCCAAUAGGAACGCCUUCUCUCUGAAAGGACCAGUGAUUUAAGUUUCCCUUCACGGGAUAGAUGUUCUAAAGCCUGAAGACAGAGCCAAGAGGAAUGGUAGAAGUCUAGUUUUCUCUAAAACCAUUUAAAGUACAAUAUGCUAAAAGCUUUUUAUGACAUUUUCCCCAAUGAUGCCACCCCAACAUACACACACACACAGCAUGUGUCCUUUUAAGGUUAUUUCAAAGAAAUUAUACACAUUAUUGUCAUACCCUUGCUGUCUGUUGUGAAAAUGAAACUGUUUGAAUUCCA